RNAcentral lists this non-coding RNA (31 nucleotides) under Mus musculus (house mouse). The record is from RNAcentral. Lineage: Eukaryota; Metazoa; Chordata; Mammalia; Rodentia; Muridae.
UAAACCUGUUGUUAAGUUUCCUAGAACUCUG